GGAAGGCCUGUAGCUCAGUGGUACAGCCUCUGAUUUGCAUACAGAAGGUUCUGGGUUCAAUCCCCAACAUCUCCA
RNAcentral lists this transfer RNA (75 nucleotides) under Sphaerodactylus townsendi. Its description in RNAcentral is "tRNA-Ala". It matches the Rfam family "tRNA". Rfam says of the family: Transfer RNA (tRNA) molecules are approximately 80 nucleotides in length. Lineage: Eukaryota; Metazoa; Chordata; Lepidosauria; Squamata; Sphaerodactylidae. The record is from RNAcentral.